CCUACGGGUGGCAGCAGUGGGGAAUAUUGCACAAUGGGGGAAACCCUGAUGCAGCGACGCCGCGUGAAGGAAGAAGUAUUUCGGUAUGUAAACUUCUAUCAGCAGGGAAGAAAAUGACGGUACCUGACUAAGAAGCCCCGGCUAACUACGUGCCAGCAGCCGCGGUAAUACGUAGGGGGCAAGCGUUAUCCGGAUUUACUGGGUGUAAAGGGAGCGUAGACGGUAUGGCAAGUCUGAAGUGAAAGCCCAGGGCUGAACCCUUGGACUGCUUUUGAAACUGUUGGACUAGAGUGCUGGUGAGGGAAGUGGAAUUCCUGGUGUAGCGGUGAAAUGCGUAGAUAUUAGGAAGAACACCAGUGGCGAAGGCGGCUUACUGGACAAUAACUGACGUUGAGGCUCGAAAGCGUGGGGAGCAAACAGGAUUAGAUACCCGAGUAGUC
This 440-nucleotide ribosomal RNA is filed under the name uncultured bacterium. Its description in RNAcentral is "partial 16S ribosomal RNA". It matches the Rfam family "Bacterial small subunit ribosomal RNA", at positions 338 to 795 of the family's 1533-position model. The record is from RNAcentral.